CAGGCCUCACACAUGCAAGUCGAACGCAGGCUUCGGCCUUCGUGGCGCACGGAGUGCGUCACGCGUCGGGCAUCUGCCCUUGGGUUCGGAAUCACGGUGGGAAACUCCCGGUAAUCACGGAUGAUGACGUCAGUCCAAAUCUUUAUCGCCCAUGGAUGAGCCCGCAUACGAUUAGCUAUUUGGUGGGGUAAAUGCCUAACAAGGCGACGAUACUUAGCUGGUCUGAUAGGAUGAUCAGCCACACUGGGACUGAGACACGGUCCAUACUCCUACGGGAGGCAUCAGUGGGGAAUAUUGGACAAUGGGCAAAAUCCUGAUCCAUCAAUGCCGUGUGAGUGAUUAAUGCCCUAGGGUUGUAAAGCUCUUUUACCCUGGAAGAUAAUGACUGUACCGGGAGAAUAAGCCCCGGCUAACUCCGUGCCAUCAGCCGCGGUAAU
Molecule: ribosomal RNA, 437 nt
Filed under: uncultured bacterium
Lineage: Bacteria
Description: bacterial SSU rRNA
Rfam family: Bacterial small subunit ribosomal RNA
Source: RNAcentral